Molecule: ribosomal RNA, 1063 nt
Filed under: Amynthas sp. HN201010-02
Lineage: Eukaryota; Metazoa; Annelida; Clitellata; Crassiclitellata; Megascolecidae
Description: partial 12S ribosomal RNA
Source: RNAcentral
ACUCGAUAAUCCACGCAUACUCAACCUUCCCUAGAUAUUGCAGCAUGUGUACUGCCGUUGUAAGCAUACCUUUAAAAGAACAAGUAUGCUACUAUGAUUGAAUAACUUAACUCAUAUACAUCAGGUCAAAGUGCAGCCAAUAAGAAGGUGAUGAUGGGUUACAACCCAAAAACAGACUAUCAACUAAGAAAUAAAAAAUCUUACGAAAGUGGACUUGGCCGUAAUCAAUUUACAAGUUAAAAAAAUGAAUAAAAAUCUAAGACAUGUACACAUCGCCCGUCACUCUAUCCUAAAGGAUAGAUAAGUCGUAACAAAGUAGGUGUAAUGGAAAUUGCACCUGUCGAAGUAUAGCAUAUGUAAUGCUUUUUACUUACACUAAAAACAAAGUUAAACAACUUGCUUCGCAUACACAACAUAAUCUUAUAACACUUAAAAUAAUAAAAACAAUUAAACAAAUUUUAAUAAACUAACAAGUACAGAAAUGGAAAAAACAAUAAAUAAAAGUAAAUCUUAACAACUGUACCUUGUGCAUUAUGGUUUUACAAGAAAAUAAUUAAAUACACUAAUCCCGAAUUCUAAAUGAGAUGUUAAACUGCUGUUACGAACCCAUUAAUAACUGUGGAAAAAGCUUUAAAAGACAGUUUAACAGAGGCUACAUACCAUCCGCAUAAGAAUAUAGCUGGUUUUCAACAAACAUUAUAUAUUAAAACAUAUAAUUAUAUUAUAGUGUAAUAUUAUUGAGGAUAAGCCCAAUAAUCUAAACAAUAUCUAAACCAAACCUAUUUCAUUUUAUAGGCCUAAAAUCAGCCAACCAAAAUACUUUACCGUAACAAGCACUGAUAAAAUACAUGACACAAGUAUGACAAAAAUAGUUGAAAUAGUGAAUAAACUAACCAAACUCACCUAUACUAUGUAAAAAUAAGUAUUAUAAAAUUAUAUUAACAACUCCCCAGCAAAUCAACAACCCAUAAAUCAAUAAUAAUUAAUUAAGGAACUCGGCAAACCAUUAUUUCGACUGUUUAACAAAAACAUUGUCUCAUGAAUAAAAUAUGAGAUAACACCU